This 465-nucleotide ribosomal RNA is filed under the name uncultured bacterium. RNAcentral describes it as "partial 16S ribosomal RNA". It matches the Rfam family "Bacterial small subunit ribosomal RNA", at positions 338 to 795 of the family's 1533-position model. The record is from RNAcentral.
CCUACGGGAGGCUGCAGUGGGGAAUAUUGCGCAAUGGGCGAAAGCCUGACGCAGCGACGCCGCGUGAGGGAUGAAGGUCUUCGGAUCGUAAACCUCUGUCAGCAGGGAAGAACGGUCACUGUGCUAAUCAGCAGUGAAUUGACGGUACCUGCAAAGGAAGCACCGGCUAACUCCGUGCCAGCAGCCGCGGUAAUACGGAGGGUGCGAGCGUUAAUCGGAAUUACUGGGCGUAAAGCGCUCGUAGGCGGUAUGUCAAGUCAAGGGGGAAAUCCCCGCGCUCAACGUGGGAACUGCCUUUGAAACUGGCAAACUGGAGUGUGUGAGAGGAUAGUGGAAUUCCAGGUGUAGGAGUGAAAUCCGUAGAUAUCUGGAGGAACAUCAGUGGCGAAGGCGACUAUCUGGCACAUAACUGACGCUGAGGAGCGAAAGCGUGGGUAGUAAACAGGAUUAGAAACCCCAGUAGUC